This 138-nucleotide small nucleolar RNA is filed under the name Dasypus novemcinctus (nine-banded armadillo). RNAcentral's name for it is "Small nucleolar RNA SNORA8 (ENSDNOG00000027382.1)". It matches the Rfam family "Small nucleolar RNA SNORA8". From Rfam's summary of the family: ACA8 is a member of the H/ACA class of snoRNA that guide the sites of modification of uridines to pseudouridines. The record is from RNAcentral. Lineage: Eukaryota; Metazoa; Chordata; Mammalia; Cingulata; Dasypodidae.
UGCACUGCAUGGUAUCUGCACUCAGCAUUUUUUCCUGCUGGGGUGUUCAAAAGUCAGUGCUAUAGAAAUUCAGUAUCGGGCAUUGUUGGUUUUCUUGGCUUUGUGCACGUUAAACCUAGUAUUUCUAUUGAUAUGGUA